AAGUAUAAGAGGUGAAGCCUGCUCUAUGGUUGUAUCUGAAAAAAUAACAAAGAAGUUAUUUAUNAAGACAAUUAAAUGGAUGCGGUAUACCUAACUGUAAAAAUGUAGCGCAAUUAAUCGUCAAUUAAUUGUUGACAAGUAUGAAUGGCGUCACGAGUGCUUAACUGUCUUAAGAAAAAACCCAAUGAAAUUGAAUUCGUAGUUAAGAUGCUACGUAAUUUUGUAAGACGAAAAGUCCCUAUUAAGCUUUACUGGAAACUUAUACUGUUUUAAUAAAUAGAUGUAUUACAAGGGAAGUAAAAAAUARUACUAAACCAAUUAUAAAUAUGAAAGACUAUGUCGCCAAAAUAGGAUGAAUUAGUAUGUUAGACAGUUUGGUUGGGGCGACUCCCUAAAAAAGGAUAACUAAGGGGCACUAAGGUAAUGAAGAAAGAGCUUGACUGGAAGAGGGCACUCAAACAGACACGAAAGUGGGUAAAGCGAACCGUUAAUAAAAGUGGAAUUGAUAACGAUAAACGAAUAAAAGUUACUAUAGGGAUAACAGCGUAAUAUUGUUAGAGAGAUGACAUCGACGACAAUGUUUGCGACC
This 589-nucleotide ribosomal RNA is filed under the name Pachycerianthus magnus. RNAcentral's name for it is "partial 16S ribosomal RNA". It matches the Rfam family "Bacterial large subunit ribosomal RNA", at positions 1841 to 2525 of the family's 2925-position model. Lineage: Eukaryota; Metazoa; Cnidaria; Anthozoa; Spirularia; Cerianthidae. The record is from RNAcentral.